UGGGGAAUCUUGCACAAUGGGCGAAAGCCUGAUGCAGCGACGCCGCGUGAGCGAUGAAGCCCUUCGGGGUGUAAAGCUCUUUCGACGGGAACGAUAAUGACGGUACCCGGAGAAGAAGCUGCGGCUAACUACGUGCCAGCAGCCGCGGUAAUACGUAGGCAGCGAGCGUUGUUCGGAAUUACUGGGCGUAAAGAGUGUGUAGGCGGUGCUCCCAGUCUGUUGUGAAAUCUCCCGGCUUAACUGGGAGGGUGCAGCGGAAACUAGAAUGCUAGAGGGUGGGAGAGGUAAGCGGAAUUCCUGGUGUAGCGGUGAAAUGCGUAGAUAUCAGGAGGAACACCUGUGGUGUAGACAGCUUACUGGACCACUUCUGACGCUGAGACACGAAAGCGUGGGUAGCAAACA
RNAcentral lists this ribosomal RNA (402 nucleotides) under uncultured Bryobacter sp. Its description in RNAcentral is "bacterial SSU rRNA". It matches the Rfam family "Bacterial small subunit ribosomal RNA", at positions 355 to 774 of the family's 1533-position model. The record is from RNAcentral. Lineage: Bacteria; Pseudomonadati; Acidobacteriota; Terriglobia; Bryobacterales; Bryobacteraceae.